GCCGAAAGGCGUAGUCGAUGGGAAACGGGUUAAUAUUCCCGUACUUGGUGUUACUGCGAAGGGGGGACGGAGAAGGCUAUGUUGGCCGGGCGACGGUUGUCCCGGUUUAAGCGUGUAGGUGUGUGUUCCAGGUAAAUCCGGUUCACUUUAACACUGAGGCGUGACGACGAGGCACUACGGUGCUGAAGCAACAAAUGCCCUGCUUCCAGGAAAAGCCUCUAAGCAUCAGGUAACAUCAAAUCGUACCCCAAACCGACACAGGUGGUCAGGUAGAGAAUACCAAGGCGCUUGAGAGAACUCGGGUGAAGGAACUAGGCAAAAUGGUGCCGUAACUUCGGGAGAAGGCACGCUGACACGUAGGUGAAGUGAUUUACUCAUGGAGCUGAAGUCAGUCGAAGAUACCAGCUGGCUGCAACUGUUUAUUAAAAACACAGCACUGUGCAAACACGAAAGUGGACGUAUACGGUGUGACGCCUGCCCGGUGCCGGAAGGUUAAUUGAUGGGGUCAGCGCAAGCGAAGCUCCUGAUCGAAGCCCCGGUAAACGGCGGCCGUAACUAUAACGGUCCUAAGGUAGCGAAAUUCCUUGUCGGGUAAGUUCCGACCUGCACGAAUGGCGUAAUGAUGGCCAGGCUGUCUCCACCCGAGACUCAGUGAAAUUGAACUCGCUGUGAAGAUGCAGUGUACCCGCGGCAAGACGGAAAGACCCCGUGAACCUUUACUAUAGCUUGACACUGAACAUUGAGCCUUGAUGUGUAGGAUAGGUGGGAGGCUUUGAAGUGUGGACGCCAGUCUGCAUGGAGCCGACCUUGAAAUACCACCCUUUAAUGUUUGAUGUUCUAACGUGGACCCGUUACCCGGGUUGCGGACAGUGUCUGGUGGGUAGUUUGACUGGGGCGGUCUCCUCCUAAAGAGUAACGGAGGAGCACGAAGGUUGGCUAAUCCUGGUCGGACAUCAGGAGGUUAGUGCAAUGGCAUAAGCCAGCUUGACUGCGAGCGUGACGGCGCGAGCAGGUGCGAAAGCAGGUCAUAGUGAUCCGGUGGUUCUGAAUGGAAGGGCCAUCGCUCAACGGAUAAAAGGUACUCCGGGGAUAACAGGCUGAUACCGCCCAAGAGUUCAUAUCGACGGCGGUGUUUGGCACCUCGAUGUCGGCUCAUCACAUCCUGGGGCUGAAGUAGGUCCCAAGGGUAUGGCUGUUCGCCAUUUAAAGUGGUACGCGAGCUGGGUUUAGAACGUCGUGAGACAGUUCGGUCCCUAUCUGCCGUGGGCGCUGGAGAACUGAGGGGGGCUGCUCCUAGUACGAGAGGACCGGAGUGGACGCAUCACUGGUGUUCGGGUUGUCAUGCCAAUGGCACUGCCCGGUAGCUAAAUGCGGAAGAGAUAAGUGCUGAAAGCAUCUAAGCACGAAACUUGCCCCGAG
This 1419-nucleotide ribosomal RNA is filed under the name Salmonella enterica subsp. enterica serovar Enteritidis. Its description in RNAcentral is "partial 23S ribosomal RNA". It matches the Rfam family "Bacterial large subunit ribosomal RNA", at positions 1401 to 2803 of the family's 2925-position model. The record is from RNAcentral. Lineage: Bacteria; Pseudomonadati; Pseudomonadota; Gammaproteobacteria; Enterobacterales; Enterobacteriaceae.